GCUUGGCUGGUUCAGUUGGUAGAGUGUGAGACUCUCUAUCUCCAGAUUGUGAGUUCAAGCCCCAUGUUGGGCA
Non-coding RNA from Ailuropoda melanoleuca (giant panda), 73 nucleotides. Lineage: Eukaryota; Metazoa; Chordata; Mammalia; Carnivora; Ursidae. The record is from Rfam.